Molecule: long non-coding RNA, 821 nt
Organism: Symphalangus syndactylus (siamang)
Lineage: Eukaryota; Metazoa; Chordata; Mammalia; Primates; Hylobatidae
Source: RefSeq, a predicted model, not a curated record
UCCGGCCUCCCUGCUACCACAAAAUGGUAGCUGCCGUGGGAGAUGUCCAGUUUCUUUUUCCUCAGCCUAAACCCCAAAUUCCAGCGAAACAGCUGAUGCCAGCCAGCUUGAAGACCCCAGCCACAGAAGAAGGGAAUCAGCAUGAGAAUACAGCUUCUUCAUCUCCCUGUCCCAUGAUUUCGCCCUGCACUCUUCAGCCAAUUAAUGAUCUCCACACUUCAGACCACUCCAAAACGCUUAAGAAAAAUAUAAUUAAGCAUUAAUCAGGCUACACUUUGACCCACUUCCUUGUAACCCGAAAGUCGGGCAGAGCUAGGUAGUACAUUUGUAUCCCCGUUGUCCCUGUAGAUAGGCUUUCUGAUGUUAAGAGUCAUAGGCUUUUUAAGAAUUGCUUAAGAUGUUUUUCAGACCCCAAAUUCCAGCGAAACAGCUGAUGCCAGCCAGCUUGAAGACCCCAGCCACAGAAGAAGGGAAUCAGCAUGAGAAUACAGCUUCUUCAUCUCCCUGUCCCAUGAUUUCGCCCUGCACUCUUCAGCCAAUUAAUGAUCUCCACACUUCAGACCACUCCAAAACGCUUAAGAACCUGAGCCUCAAAGUCCUCCUGGAGACGAAUUUGAGGUUUCCUCCUAUCUGUGUUUGGUGGCCCUAUGAUUAAACCUCUUUCUCUUCUGCAACCUGGUGCCCCAGUGUAUUAACUUGCCAUGGGCAUCAGACAACAAACCUAUAUACAGUAUCCCAAAUAUAGUGCUCCACUUUGAAACCUGAAGAAAUCCUGCAAUUGAGUUAGCCUUUUGAAAUAAAAAUUAUUUCAAAUUUAAAAA